AACGAACGCUGGCGGCAUGCCUAACACAUGCAAGUCGAACGAGACCUUCGGGUCUAGUGGCGCACGGGUGCGUAACGCGUGGGAACCUGCCCUUAGGUUCGGAAUAACUCCCCGAAAGGGGUGCUAAUACCGGAUAAUGUCUUCGGACCAAAGAUUUAUCGCCUUUGGAUGGGCCCGCGUUGGAUUAGCUAGUUGGUAGGGUAAAAGCCUACCAAGGCGACGAUCCAUAGCUGGUCUGAGAGGAUGAUCAGCCACACUGGGGCUGAGACACGGCCCAGACUCCUACGGGAGGCAGCAGUGGGGAAUAUUGGAUAAUGGGCGAAAGCCUGAUCCAGCAAUGCCGCGUGAGUGAUGAAGGCCUUAGGGUUGUAAAGCUCUUUUACCCGGGAUGAUAAUGACAGUACCGGGAGAAUAAGCUCCGGCUAACUCCGUG
Molecule: ribosomal RNA, 433 nt
Filed under: uncultured bacterium
Lineage: Bacteria
Description: partial 16S ribosomal RNA
Rfam family: Bacterial small subunit ribosomal RNA
Source: RNAcentral